AUGAUUGCAUAUUAUCUAGUGCCUGCUGUACUGCUCAGUCUCAUGCGCUGCGUUCUGUUAAGGCAUGCUUUUGCAAUAUAUUUCUUUGACUACGUCUGUCUCCAGUGGAGCCGUGCUACCGAUGCACCUGUACAGAGGCAACUAGACACUGCUUUUGGGAGCUGCCAGUUGAGAGCACCAGGGUUUUCAAGCAAGAGUAGCCUGAUAGAUAAAGUUGUUGGUCUUUCCUUCCUUUUAAGACAGCAAACUUUAACAAGGUCCAUAUGUUUUUAUCCAUCUGAGGAAAGCAAUUUCCAGAUGGAUUUACCCCAAGAUGUUAAUGUUGUGCUGGUUUUAACGCUGAUUGAAGCAAGGUAGCAAGUGGUUAUUACAGACCUGACAUGCCUGUUCUGCCAAGAAACAGCGUGAGCUUUCACCUCAGAAAACAAGAACAGAAGGAAAACAUGGUCUGCCCCCCAGAUAUUUACAAUCUAGGUGGUAGAGGAGCGCCAAGAGGAAAUGGGGGAAACGUCGACCCAAUAUUGGGCAGCACGAAGGCAGCAGAUAUGGUUUUGUCACGGGGUCCAGGUGUCCAGAUCGUAUGUAAGCAAACGCUGUGUGGGCUUCAAAGGAUCUCAGACGAGACGGGAAUACUGUUAUAGCAGAGUUUAAGGCCCAAAUGAAUGAGAGCAUUCCUCUGUAUAGAAGGAAUAAAAUUAUGAAAAAAAAAAAAAAGAGGCA
This 720-nucleotide long non-coding RNA is filed under the name Struthio camelus australis. RNAcentral's name for it is "lncRNA (ENSSCUG00000011135.1)". The record is from RNAcentral. Lineage: Eukaryota; Metazoa; Chordata; Aves; Struthioniformes; Struthionidae.